ACUCCAGUCAACAGAUGGCGAUAUGCGUUUUUUAGGCGAUGCUAUCAGAGUGACGUAUAAUGUAGUGGACGGGACGCUUCUUCAACAACAUCUCGUCAGCCACCUCGGUAGCUUCCUAGUGGAAACGUUCAAGCAGUUCAGACUGCUUCGGUCUAUAUUUACUUCUGUAUUUGGAAUAUAAUUCUGUCUUUUAACUAGUUUCCCCAUUUCAUGUCAUAUUUCCGUUUAGUCAGGUAACGGUAGCUGGCUUGAUAAAUGAGCCUAUCACUCGGCUAGUCGCUAACUAGCUAGGUUAGCUGGCUAACAUCCCCGACCAUGAGCUCAGCAAGCUGCUGCCCUCCUGCUAAAAAAGAGGUCUGCUGGAAGGAGAAAGAAGGUAUUUGGCUGAACGUUGUCGUGAAAGAAGAGAAUGAAGAGGAGGAUGUCACAGUAAACGAAGAAGUCGAGGGUGAGGCUGUUACACAGAAAGAAGAGGAAGAAAACGAUUAUACUUUUUUUGGAGUGAAUGAAGGAGAGAUAACUGUCAUAUUGAAGGAGGAGGAGAGGGAAGAAGAGAAGGAGACAGAAGAUCUGAGUAACACCAGAGAGAGACCAGACUCUCCUUCUGACAGCGGGAAGAGUCCUUCAGGGAAACCAGACCCCGAGACGUCCAAACCAGCAGGACGACAUCACUGCUCCCAGUGUGGGAAGAGUUUUACUCAGUUAGGGAGCUUGAGAACACAUAAGAGAAUACACACUGGAGAGAAGCCUUACCACUGUUCCCAAUGUGGAAUGUCGUUUACCCAGUUAGGGAGCCUGCAAACGCAUGAGAGGGGACACACAGGGGAAAAGCUUUUCCAAUGUUCCCAUUGUGGAAAGAGUUUUGGCCAGGUAGGAAACCUGAACAAGCAUGAGAGGACACACACAGGUAAGAAGAUGUACCGCUGCUCCCAGUGUGGAGAGAGAUUUACCCGGUUAAGGUACCUGAAAGAGCAUGAAAGAAUACAUACAAAUACACAGGAGGAGAAGACAUACCACUGCUCUCAUUGUGGAAAGACAUUUUCCCAGUCAGAGAACCUGAAAACACAUGAGAGAAUCGAGAGGCUGUGUUCUGACUUGUGUUUCUGACUGAGAAUGUGUGUGUUUGUUUGUGCUGUCAGACUUGAGUUCACUCUGUAUAAUGUUAGUGCACUAUUUUUAAUUGUGAUUAAUCCAUUGUCUGAAAGGGUUGAAAACACACUGAAAACAUCCAAAAUACAUACUAUAUACAGCUAAAAUCUACAAUGCCAUGUAAACACAAGAUGACAUUGAGGUUAAAUAAAGUGUGCUUUAUCAAUGGAACAUA
Long non-coding RNA from Oncorhynchus masou masou (cherry salmon), 1324 nucleotides. RefSeq lists it as uncharacterized. The transcript is spliced from 2 exons. Lineage: Eukaryota; Metazoa; Chordata; Actinopteri; Salmoniformes; Salmonidae. The record is from RefSeq and is a predicted model, not a curated record.